ACCUGGCCCUGGGGCGGAGCCUGCGGUCGGGUCUCGGCGACCCGCCGGGACUUUCUAAUCAGAGUCGUGGGGAUUUUACGGGUGGAGUUACUCCGAAACCUUUAAGGCCGAGUGUGAUAGGUAGUUCAAAGCUUCCUGUUUCUUCAGUCUGACAGCUUCAAAUGUCCCGGGUUGUGCUCAAAGCCUCCCUCUUGUGAGAAGAAUCUCUUUGGUUGCCUGUUAAAGCGGUCAGCCAGCUUGCAACACGGAAGCAGCUUUUAGAGGAAUUAAAACCAAAACAAGGAGCAAAUUCUGGAUUAAAAAGAUAUUUGCAACCAUUCUUCCAAUCAAUUUUAGAAAAUUUCCACCACCUCAAAAAGAAAUCCUGAUGAAGAAACAUCCUGAGAAGGUUGACAUGCUGAAUGCCUUAAAGAACUUCAAUUGGGAUGCCAGAUGAAAGUGUAACUAGAAUUUCUAUGGCUUAAAUAACGAGAGCUGGAGUGCAGUAGCAUGAUCAUGGCUCACUGCUGCCUCGACCUCCCGGGCUCAGAGAUUCUCUUGCCUCAGCCUCCUGAGUAGCUGGGACCACAGAGUUUCACUCUUGUUGCCCAGGCUGGAGUACAAUGGCAUGAUCUCGGCUCACUGAAACCUCUGCCUCCUGGGUUCAUUCAAGCGAUUCUCCUGCCUCAGCCUCCUGAGUAGCUGGGAUUACAGGCAUGCACCACCACGCCCGGCUAAUUUUGUAUUUUUAGUGGAGAUGGGGUUUCUCUAUGUUGGUGAGGCUAGUCUCGAACUCCUGACCUCAGGUGAUCCACCUGCCUUGGCCUCCCAAAGUGCUGGGAUUACAGGCAUGGGCUACUGCGCCUGGCCUGUAUCUCCAAUUCUUUACAUAUGCCUGACGAACUGCUAUUCCAUCUUGUAGGGCUAAAAUCAAAUUUUUUUUCAUUUUUGGGAAGCCUCCUCUACAUACCUCCACCUUCUAACUCCAAGAAGUCAAAAUGAAGUCUCACCAUAUUGAUCAGACUGGUCUUGAAGUCCUGGCUUCAAAUGAUCUUCCCUCCUCAGCCUCCCAAACUGCUGGGAUUAUAGAUCUUGCAGACAACAGAUCAUGGAACUUCUUGGCCUCCAUAAUCUCAUGAGCCAAUUUCUAUAUUCCAUAGGGGAAAGAAGGAGAGCUGAGAAUGCACAGAAAUUUUCAUGUGCCAAGUUUGGAAGUGCAAAAAGACCUUUAGGUGCGGGCCCUCUGUCUUGGACUUCUCAACCUCCAGAACAAUGGUGUCAGAAGCAGGAUCCCAAGCAGAGCUUCUAGUGACCUCCAGGAGCGCUGAGUGAACACUCGAGGUACCAGCACUCGAGGACCCACUUGUGUCCAUGGAUCUCUCAGAGCGGCUCCGGAUGGUAAAAAGCAAUUUGAAGGGGUGUUCUAUACUUUGGCAGAGGAAACCCAUUCCCUCUCAAGGAGAAGCAGUGGACACAGUCUCCGAAGUUGAGAGCCAUUUGAGAAUCAGUUGAGAAGUUUGAGAACCAGGUAUGUGGGGCUUUGGUAUCAGGAUGAUGCUGGCCUCAUAAAAUGAGUUCAGGAGGAUUCCCUCUUUUUCUAUUGAUUGGAAUAGUUUCAGAAGGAAUGGUACCAGCUCCUCCUUGUACCUCUGGUAGAAUUUGGCUGUGAAUCCAUCUGGUCCUGGACUUUUUUUGGUUGGGGGUCCUGAAACCAAUCCUUCGUGGAUACCCAGGGACAAUUCUAUCUGGCUGGAUUCUGGGAAGUGAACUUAUGGAAUCAAAGGUUAUGCAAACAUUUUUGAGACUUAGACUGGCUCUCCUUGCUCCUCAAGCUUGUAGACAGCCUAUUGUGGGACCUUGUGAUCAUACUUGAAACACUUGUACAUCAGCUCAGAGUGUGCAUUGUCCACUGCAAAUACUAGUGCAAAUUAAGAAGAAGAGAAAAAAGAAGGUCCACGAGCUACCAAUGACAUCUAGGACUGCUUCUGUCUCAUAGCACAUACUCCUCCCACAAGGACUACAAAUGACAAGAGAAAAUUUGUAUAAUUGGAAUUCUGGACAUUUCUCAAAUGCUCAUUGACUCAAAUACUUUCUGCUGUAUUUGGAAUUUUCAAACCAAAACAUGAUAGCAACCAGACCAGAAAAAUGUAAUUGACCAGAAAUGUCCUACAAUAUUUACAAUAUACUCAUUUUUCUGCAUGUUCAAUUUUAAAAGUUGGGUAUUCUGUACUGGAAUCUAAUGGGAUUUGACUAAUAAUCCUCACAAAAAUGAUGCCAGGAUGUUCUUCAGCUUUUGAUAGACUUUAAAAUACACAGGCAGCAUAAUCUUGAGCAAGAAAAGAGCUGACUUUCUGUACAGGAGAAAUAAAGAAUAGUGUAGCACUUGACAACC
Molecule: long non-coding RNA, 2371 nt
Filed under: Homo sapiens (human)
Lineage: Eukaryota; Metazoa; Chordata; Mammalia; Primates; Hominidae
Description: SGO1 antisense RNA 1
Source: RNAcentral